This 345-nucleotide ribosomal RNA is filed under the name uncultured Actinomycetes bacterium. RNAcentral's name for it is "bacterial SSU rRNA". It matches the Rfam family "Bacterial small subunit ribosomal RNA", at positions 21 to 358 of the family's 1533-position model. Lineage: Bacteria; Bacillati; Actinomycetota; Actinomycetes. The record is from RNAcentral.
GGCUCAGAACGAACGCUGGCUGCGCGCUUAAUACAUGCAAGUCGAGCGAGAACCAGGGCUUCGGCCCUGGGGACAGCGGCGAACGGGUGAGUAACACGUGGGUAAUCAACCCCCGACACCGGGAUAGCCCAGGGAAACUUGGAUUAAUACCGGAUGCUCCGUCUGGCCCUCGGGCCGGCCGGAAAAGGGUAGCUUCGGCCUCCGGUCGGGGACGAGCCCGCGGCGGAUUAGCUUGUUGGUGAGGUAAAGGCUCACCAAGGCGACGAUCCGUAGCUGGUCUGAGAGGACGAUCAGCCACACUGGGACUGAGACACGGCCCAGACUCCUACGGGAGGCAGCAGUGGG